RNAcentral lists this ribosomal RNA (490 nucleotides) under uncultured bacterium. Its description in RNAcentral is "partial 16S ribosomal RNA". It matches the Rfam family "Bacterial small subunit ribosomal RNA", at positions 30 to 507 of the family's 1533-position model. The record is from RNAcentral.
AUUGAACGCUGGCGGCAUGCUUUACACAUGCAGGUCGGACGGCAGCACAGAGAAGCUUGCUUCUUGGGUGGCGAGUGGCGAACGGGUGAGUAAUAUAUCGGAACGUACCGAGUAAUGGGGGAUAACUAAUCGAAAGAUUAGCUAAUACCGCAUAUUCUCUGAGGAGGAAAGCAGGGGACCUUCGGGCCUUGCGUUAUUCGAGCGGCCGAUAUCUGAUUAGCUAGUUGGUGGGGUAAAGGCCUACCAAGGCGACGAUCAGUAGCGGGUCUGAGAGGAUGAUCCGCCACACUGGGACUGAGAAACGGCCCAGACUCCUACGGGAGGCAGCAGUGGGGAAUUUUGGACAAUGGGCGCAAGCCUGAUCCAGCCAUGCCGCGUGUCUGAAGAAGGCCUUCGGGUUGUAAAGGACUUUUGUCAGGGAAGAAAAGGCUGUUGCUAAUACCGACAGCUGAUGACGGUACCUGAAGAAUAAGCACCGGCUAACUACGUG